GUUUUCUUUCUUGUUUCCUUUCCAUUUCUUACUUCUCCUUUUCUCUUUCAAACCUAAACAACAAGUGCAUACCUUUUUUCUUACUCCAUUAUAACUUGUUUAGUAGAUGCUUCUUGUUUGGUAGAUAUGUAUAUAUUCUUUGUGGGUUAUUGCUAUUUUUGAGAUCUGAUUUACAUUUACCCUACAUACUUCUAGUUGUGGAAUGCUUGGAUUUUCAGCAAUUACGCCUUAUGUUUGAAGGAUUAGGAGUAUAGCAUUGCGCACAAGCAUGAACAAGAAAACUCCUAAUCCUUCAAACUCCUAAUCCGCGAGCUUUAACUUGAAUACGGAUACUAGCCCCGUCAUUUGAAACUAUAAUAUUCAUGGAAACAGUUUGAGUCUCCAUGACAUUUUGAAGAAAUAAACAUUUAUAGUUUUGAUGUUGUAAGGUUGCCGGCUCAUUCUUUGGCACAUAUGCUAGGAAGUCAUAGAGCUAAUUAUAUAUGCAUAAUUGGAAUACAGAUUACCAGAAAAUUGACCAAUAAACUUAUAGAUCAUAUAUUUCAAAGUAAUGAUUCUGAACUUCAUUUUCAACACACAGAAGAAUAUUUAAGGAAAUGAAUUGCAAUUGUGUUUUUUUUUAAAUAGAGGUCAAUAGACCGUUGAAAAGUAGUUAUAUAUAUUAAGGUCUUGAAUUUGUUUUGGUCACUAGGCAUUUUCCCCCCAUGGUAUAUCCAACAUGGAUGCAUUAAACCUUUUUCUUUCCCUUUCUUUCUCCAACCAAUAUUGCAAUUAACUUGUGAGAGGAUCGCUAUUUCAAAUGUUGGCAGAAUUGUCCUAUCAAAGAUCUAUACGGUGAUUGUCUUCUCCUACGUAUUUAGACCUAAAAACUUUAAGUUGAGAUAGUAAUGGGGGUAAUAUCACCCAAUUUCUAGACAUGGGAAGCUCCUAGAUAGUAAUAUUAUUGUUGUUUAUGUACAUGCCGCCCGCUCUCUCCUCGUCAUGUGGGAUGGGUAAAAUUACUAGAGUAGAACAUUCUGCCGCCAAAAAUUAGUUCAUGCUGGCAUAAGUUAGCAUAGUGACAAGGUGACAAGGGUGCUUUCCCUAGAGCACGCUGGGGCUUAACUAUUUUAUUUUAUUUACAAUCUUUUUAAUUUUCCAGCGCCGGUAAAAUCACUAACUUUGAAAAAAGUGGGAGGGGGUAAACAUGGGAAUCUUAGGUAGUCGAGACGAGGCGGGUCCAGGGGAGCCGGAAGGGUGGAAAAACAAUGGGCCAAAACGGUGUAGUAGGGUCCAUGAGCUGCACGCGGCAUCUGAUUCAAUUGGGUGUUACAAGUGUUCACAUCCCAUCAUUACUUUGGCGUCGUCUUGAGAUUCCAAAAACAAAAGGCCGAAAAACGAAAAUAAAUUUCUCCUUGUUUUAUGCGGCCAUGAGUUUUCCGAUUUUCAUUUCUGAGGCUCCUCCAGAUAAGAUAAGAUUUAUCCAUCAUGCACUGUGUACCCUCAAAAUCUCUUGUUAUUCGAUAAAUAUUUUUUUAAAUGUAUUCAAAUAAUAUCAUAUAGCGUCCAUAUUCCUAAAAUCAUUGUUUCGUCACUGGUUUUACGUACAUGAUAUCACGGGGUCUGAAUGCUUCAAUCCGGAGCAUUAUUCGCUGCUUCCACAUCAGUUCUCAGAAAAAAAAUAAAAAGAGGCAUGUGGAUGUUUUUCGUUCUCUCAAGAAUUUCAGGGCAGAGAUUAGGGCAUAUCUUGGCAGGAGCUGUUUCAUUAUUGCUCAAAGGAAAAAAAUAUCCUCCUGAUAUUAUAUCCUCCUAACUACUGUGCUUGCUGUUUGGUGAGCCAGUUGGUGCGGCAUCUUCACUGUUGGACCCUGUGAUGUGUCACGUCUUUGUGUGUCGUGGGCCAAGAGUUGACUGUAUCUAGACCAUAGUAAAACGCUUAACCAGACAUUGAACUGUGUCUGCCCCUUGUCCUACCACUGUUUAUUUUAUUUAUAUCUGAAUAUAAAUAUAAUAGACCAAUAAUGCUUUUACAUCAGACUCCCCAUGCGUGGUCGCCGUUGCUAUUCGUACCUUGUAGUAAAAGUAAAAAGCACAA
Populus euphratica (Euphrates poplar) is the source of this 2074-nucleotide long non-coding RNA. RefSeq lists it as uncharacterized. The transcript is spliced from 3 exons. The record is from RefSeq and is a predicted model, not a curated record. NCBI's taxonomy places the organism in Eukaryota, Viridiplantae, Streptophyta, Magnoliopsida, Malpighiales, Salicaceae.